Molecule: ribosomal RNA, 529 nt
Filed under: uncultured bacterium
Lineage: Bacteria
Description: bacterial SSU rRNA
Rfam family: Bacterial small subunit ribosomal RNA
Source: RNAcentral
UGAGGGAUCUUGCACAAUGGGGGCAACCCUGAUGCAGCGACGCCGCGUGGGCGAUGAAGGCUUUCGGGUCGUAAAGCCCUUUUCCCACGGAGGAGAACGGACAGUAAGUGGGGAACAAGUCUCGGCUAACUACGUGCCAGCAGCCGCGGUAAAACGUAGGAGGCGAGCGUUAUCCGGAGUUACUGGGCGUAAAGCGCGUGCAGGCGGUCGGACAAGUGGCGGAUGAAAGCGCCCGGCUCAACCGGGCAAGGGUCGGUCAGACUGUUCGACUAGAGGACCGGUGAGGGACGUGGAAUUCCGGGUAUAGCGGUGAAAUGUGCAGAGAUCCGGAGGAACACCAGCGGCGCAAGCGGCGUCCUGGACGGGUACUGACGCUGAGACGCGACAGCGUGGGGAGCGAACGGGAUUAGAGACCCCGGUAGUCCACGCCGUAAACGAUGCCAACUCGAUGUCGGGGAGGCGAAAGCCUUUUCGGUGUCCUAGUUGACGCGCUAAGUUGGCCGCCUGGGGAGUACGGUCGCAAGGCUAA